Molecule: long non-coding RNA, 1546 nt
Organism: Paramisgurnus dabryanus
Lineage: Eukaryota; Metazoa; Chordata; Actinopteri; Cypriniformes; Cobitidae
Source: RefSeq, a predicted model, not a curated record
AAUUUGCAGUGUGUGGCUGAGGAAUAUUGUGGAUGUGUCCAGUGACAUUUCGUCAGCUUUUCACUGAUACACGUCAAGUGUGCGGAGCGGCGUGAGUCCUAUUGGCAGUGUCACGGAGGUGUUGCAGCAGGCUUUUUGGGCGCUGUUGAGCCUUGCGUCCUUUUUGCACAAUCAAUACUGACUACUGAGCAGCUGCAGUAAUGAACGCAUGACAAGCAGUGCUAUUAUAAAGAUUUUGGCGUUUAUUUCUUCAUGGCGGUCCAGGCUUGACCCGCUCUUCACUGCCUCUUAACGGAUGCAUGUAAUAUGAACUAACCGAAUAUCCUAUCUGCACGAAGGGAGGAUUGCCUUUGUGGUUGGACUGAUAGCGUUCCCGGCCAGUGAGCGCGCAGCUAAAUUUAGCCGUGUUGAUUACUUAACGGUUUGACUACGGUGGGGUAUUUAAAUCGUAUAUCUCUGUAUUGUCACCCCUGUUGUGUUUAUUAUUUUGUUUGAUUUUCUUUUGAUUUUUUUUUAAGUUGUGGUGUGGAAACUCCUAUUUGGGGUUUUUGUAUGAUUUGAUUUGUUUUGUAAAUGUGAUGUUUUUCAUGAUGUUUUGGUGCUGCCUGUUUGUAAGUAAUUGAUAAGGAGAGCCGCUAUAACGAGGUGAUGCUAACUCCUUUGGCAGCGGUGUUCUUUUAUAAAUCAUAGUGUAUUGCUCAUGCGUGUCGUUUGUGUGUUUGUCUAAUUUUAUUCUUCUCCCUUCAGAAUUGGGGUACCAGUGCGAGCCAGUGUCUGCAGUGUGUGGUGGUGGGACAGCUGUCAACUUGAAGUGAUCACGAUUUGGUGUGAGGUGUUGUGAGAGAACACGAGUGCUUGUGUUUAGCUAAAAGGCAGUACAACUUCCCCAGUUCUGAAGUGGUAAAACAAGAGUGUGCAUGGAUGAAUGAUGUUGUGAUUUAUUGUACUCUUUUUAACUUUUUGCAUAUUAAAACGAAUUAUGUAUUUUCUAUGUGAUUUGAAUAAAUUGUUUCAAAUAUUUCCUGUUGUCUGAUAUCUGUCUCAGCCACUGCGUAUUUGUGUGCUUUUGGUACUUCUGGGUCCCCGGCCCAUUUCCGGGGUGGCGUAGUCAAUUUAUUGCCAUAUUUGGUAUUGGUUAAGUACUCUUACAUGCCACAUUUGGCGUAUAGUCGGCAGGGUAUUGUGGCUGUUGUACAGACUCAGACACAGUGAAAUUGUGUUUUUGUUUUGUUUGUUUUUUUUCUAGUGGUGACAAAAGAGUGGAGAUUCGAUUGAAUUGGGGUACCAGUGCGAGCCAGUGUCUGCAGUGUGUGGUGGUGGGACAGCUGUCAACUUGAAGUGAUCACGAUUUGGUGUGAGGUGUUGUGAGAGAACACGAGUGCUUGUGUUUAGCUAAAAGGCAGUACAACUUCCCCAGUUCUGAAGUGGUAAAACAAGAGUGUGCAUGGAUGAAUGAUGUUGUGAUUUAUUGUACUCUUUUUAACUUUUUGCAUAUUAAAACGAAUUAUGUAUUUUCUAUGUGAUUUGAAUAAAUUGUUUCAAAUAU